UUAAGCGACUAAGCGUACACGGUGGAUGCCCUGGCAGUCAGAGGCGAUGAAGGACGUGCUAAUCUGCGAUAAGCGUCGGUAAGGUGAUAUGAACCGUUAUAACCGGCGAUUUCCGAAUGGGGAAACCCAGUGUGUUUCGACACACUAUCAUUAACUGAAUCCAUAGGUUAAUGAGGCGAACCGGGGGAACUGAAACAUCUAAGUACCCCGAGGAAAAGAAAUCAACCGAGAUUCCCCCAGUAGCGGCGAGCGAACGGGGAGGAGCCCAGAGUCUGAAUCAGUGUGUGUGUUAGUGGAAGCGUCUGGAAAGGCGCGCGAUACAGGGUGACAGCCCCGUACACAAAAAUGCACAUACUGUGAGCUCGAUGAGUAGGGCGGGACACGUGGUAUCCUGUCUGAAUAUGGGGGGACCAUCCUCCAAGGCUAAAUACUCCUGACUGACCGAUAGUGAACCAGUACCGUGAGGGAAAGGCGAAAAGAACCCCGGCGAGGGGAGUGAAAAAGAACCUGAAACCGUGUACGUACAAGCAGUGGGAGCCUCUUUUAUGGGGUGACUGCGUACCUUUUGUAUAAUGGGUCAGCGACUUAUAUUCUGUAGCAAGGUUAACCGAAUAGGGGAGCCGAAGGGAAACCGAGUCUUAACUGGGCGUUAAGUUGCAGGGUAUAGACCCGAAACCCGGUGAUCUAGCCAUGGGCAGGUUGAAGGUUGGGUAACACUAACUGGAGGACCGAACCGACUAAUGUUGAAAAAUUAGCGGAUGACUUGUGGCUGGGGGUGAAAGGCCAAUCAAACCGGGAGAUAGCUGGUUCUCCCCGAAAGCUAUUUAGGUAGCGCCUCGUGAAUUCAUCUCCGGGGGUAGAGCACUGUUUCGGCAAGGGGGUCAUCCCGACUUACCAACCCGAUGCAAACUGCGAAUACCGGAGAAUGUUAUCACGGGAGACACACGGCGGGUGCUAACGUCCGUCGUGAAGAGGGAAACAACCCAGACCGCCAGCUAAGGUCCCAAAGUCAUGGUUAAGUGGGAAACGAUGUGGGAAGGCCCAGACAGCCAGGAUGUUGGCUUAGAAGCAGCCAUCAUUUAAAGAAAGCGUAAUAGCUCACUGGUCGAGUCGGCCUGCGCGGAAGAUGUAACGGGGCUAAACCAUGCACCGAAGCUGCGGCAGCGACGCUUAUGCGUUGUUGGGUAGGGGAGCGUUCUGUAAGCCUGUGAAGGUGUGCUGUGAGGCAUGCUGGAGGUAUCAGAAGUGCGAAUGCUGACAUAAGUAACGAUAAAGCGGGUGAAAAGCCCGCUCGCCGGAAGACCAAGGGUUCCUGUCCAACGUUAAUCGGGGCAGGGUGAGUCGACCCCUAAGGCGAGGCCGAAAGGCGUAGUCGAUGGGAAACAGGUUAAUAUUCCUGUACUUGGUGUUACUGCGAAGGGGGGACGGAGAAGGCUAUGUUGGCCGGGCGACGGUUGUCCCGGUUUAAGCGUGUAGGCUGGUUUUCCAGGCAAAUCCGGAAAAUCAAGGCUGAGGCGUGAUGACGAGGCACUACGGUGCUGAAGCAACAAAUGCCCUGCUUCCAGGAAAAGCCUCUAAGCAUCAGGUAACAUCAAAUCGUACCCCAAACCGACACAGGUGGUCAGGUAGAGAAUACCAAGGCGCUUGAGAGAACUCGGGUGAAGGAACUAGGCAAAAUGGUGCCGUAACUUCGGGAGAAGGCACGCUGAUAUGUAGGUGAAGUCCCUUGCGGAUGGAGCUGAAAUCAGUCGAAGAUACCAGCUGGCUGCAACUGUUUAUUAAAAACACAGCACUGUGCAAACACGAAAGUGGACGUAUACGGUGUGACGCCUGCCCGGUGCCGGAAGGUUAAUUGAUGGGGUCAGCGCAAGCGAAGCUCUUGAUCGAAGCCCCGGUAAACGGCGGCCGUAACUAUAACGGUCCUAAGGUAGCGAAAUUCCUUGUCGGGUAAGUUCCGACCUGCACGAAUGGCGUAAUGAUGGCCAGGCUGUCUCCACCCGAGACUCAGUGAAAUUGAACUCGCUGUGAAGAUGCAGUGUACCCGCGGCAAGACGGAAAGACCCCGUGAACCUUUACUAUAGCUUGACACUGAACAUUGAGCCUUGAUGUGUAGGAUAGGUGGGAGGCUUAGAAGUGUGGACGCCAGUCUGCAUGGAGCCGACCUUGAAAUACCACCCUUUAAUGUUUGAUGUUCUAACGUUGACCCCUAAUCGGGGUUGCGGACAGUGUCUGGUGGGUAGUUUGACUGGGGCGGUCUCCUCCUAAAGAGUAACGGAGGAGCACGAAGGUUGGCUAAUCCUGGUCGGACAUCAGGAGGUUAGUGCAAUGGCAUAAGCCAGCUUGACUGCGAGCGUGACGGCGCGAGCAGGUGCGAAAGCAGGUCAUAGUGAUCCGGUGGUUCUGAAUGGAAGGGCCAUCGCUCAACGGAUAAAAGGUACUCCGGGGAUAACAGGCUGAUACCGCCCAAGAGUUCAUAUCGACGGCGGUGUUUGGCACCUCGAUGUCGGCUCAUCACAUCCUGGGGCUGAAGUAGGUCCCAAGGGUAUGGCUGUUCGCCAUUUAAAGUGGUACGCGAGCUGGGUUUAGAACGUCGUGAGACAGUUCGGUCCCUAUCUGCCGUGGGCGCUGGAGAACUGAGGGGGGCUGCUCCUAGUACGAGAGGACCGGAGUGGACGCAUCACUGGUGUUCGGGUUGUCAUGCCAAUGGCACUGCCCGGUAGCUAAAUGCGGAAGAGAUAAGUGCUGAAAGCAUCUAAGCACGAAACUUGCCCCGAGAUGAGUUCUCCCUGACUCCUUGAGAGUCCUGAAGGAACGUUGAAGACGACGACGUUGAUAGGCCGGGUGUGUAAGCGCAGCGAUGCGUUGAGCUAACCGGUACUAAUGAACCGUGAGGCUUAACCUU
Molecule: ribosomal RNA, 2902 nt
Filed under: Escherichia coli
Lineage: Bacteria; Pseudomonadati; Pseudomonadota; Gammaproteobacteria; Enterobacterales; Enterobacteriaceae
Description: 23S ribosomal RNA
Rfam family: Bacterial large subunit ribosomal RNA
Source: RNAcentral